GAGAGAAUUUGGCUCUGUCGUAGUAAUGCAGGGUGAGGGAUGCAGGACAGAGGAGUGUGGCAGAAGCACUAGGAUGAUAAUUUUUGCACAGCUAGAAAUGCAGUGAGUAACCUAGUCUGUAAUUUAUACAAUUUGUGUCUUCUCCUUCUGUCAUUGGUUCUUUUUCUUUACAUCUCACCUUAAAGAUACUGUCUUUUGUAUGUAACCUGGGAUGCCACCAGCAUCCAGAAAAGCUGUGAUAUGGUCUGUACUUAAACAAGAAAAUGUCUUCAAAGCAGAAUGGGAAGUGAUGGACAGUUCAGAUUCUCAAAGAGACAAGACUUGCUUGGAUUUGUUCUACUUCACUUUUCUCUUCGUUGUCUGCAGAAAGAUCCUAGUGUGACUUGGAUGCUUGGAUGUAAAUGAAUAUCUUGCAGCAGUUACACAAAACUGAUGCGGUAACAACAACCCAGAGCCUGCUCUGCCAACAGCCCAUCUCCUUCUCCAAAGCUUCACCACCCAUGUGGGCCCUGACCUUUGACGUCUGCAGAUGGACCUCGCGCUCCUCAGCUCACACCUGUUGGUAGCCAGAGCCAACAAGAGUCAGGAGCAGCACCAGAAGAUCUCUUGGGAUAAGGAUGAUAUAGUGUUCCUUCUAAAAUCCUACCAGCUUUACAACUGUAGUAGCUCCAUGAUCAAGAAGAGCAGCUUGGAAAAUCUCUCCUCCAGAACAUACUUAUGAUUAGUAUCUGCAUUUUGCAUUGCCAGGUCUCCCAGCUUAUGCCACCAAUUGGCUACAGCCACCCAAAGGGCAGAGAUUGGAGGAGGCACUGUGGUGAAUUUUUAAUUUGUUGUGGAUACAGAAGACAAGAGUUGGAACUGCUGUUCUGGAGAAGAUCUGUUAGCCAGAGCCCAACUAGGAACCAGAAGGAACAUCACAGCCUGAGGCCCUACGCUGACAAGGGGAACAAAGCACUUCAUGCUUCUCCAAGCUCUUUCCCGGACUUGGUGUGAAACCCAAGACACCAUUCAUGGGAAAGAGCAGCAGAAAGUGGCAGGUCACACUGCAGAGCAGUGGCAGGUCUUGGUCUCCCAACUCUCCUAGCCUAUUGUUUGCUGUCAGGGCACAGAAGAAGCCUGAAACCACUGUACCAGCCAGGCUUGAGUAUAAUAUUUGAUGCAGUCUUAGAAAACUGAGCCACUGCAAUGUUCUGCUGUGAUUUUUUUGACAUUCUGCCUGUGCUACUGGAAGCACAGUGACAGCAGUCAUCCCCAGCUUCCUGGCUUGUCAUGUUAUGAAGAAAAAUCUUGCAGGCUGCCUUUCACUUGCUUUUCUGCCCUAGCAAGUCUGUGCCCCGGAAGGCAGACAAAUGAGUCUUGUCUCCCAGAUGUGUCCAUGUUUUUCCCAGAGAGCUCACAAGCCCUUCUAUUUCCCUUGUCUCAGUCUCUUCCAAGUAUCUUCCGUAGAUUUUUCAUUGAAACCUCUCCAUCAAAUAAUCUAUUUGUUUUCCCAAUAGUGGAGAAGCAGCUGAAGAACAAGAAAGCUUUAGGACAGGUGCACAGAGAAUCAAUAUGAACACAUAAAUAUCUACAUUGAGAGGAAACAAAACACGUAUGGGUUUGGUUUUGUUUGUUUGUUUUUGGGUUUGUUUGUUUUUGUUUUUGUUUGUCUUGAAAUAAGAAUGAAUAGAUUUAUUUACCACUGGUUUCAAGCUCUCACAAUGGAUUUAUCACCUGAAUUAAAAAUGCUGAAAAACUUCAAAAGAAUGUUUUUAUUGUUUUUGUCUCUAAAUAAAUGCAUAGCUGUGACUAUAACUUCAGCAAUGCCUUUGUAUAAACCCUGAAGAUACACAGCUGCCUGUUCUAGCCCCAAAAUAUUUUGUUUACAGUAGAAUGAAAUUUGUCAUGCAAAGAAAUCUUUACAUUUUUGUUUUGGCAUGUUUAUCAGUUAAAUUAACUUCUGACAAUAAACAUAAUCAUUCAUCUGUGGAAAAUGCCUACAUAAACUAAUGUACGAUAUCUUUAGGAGUAUUUAUAAUAUAUCUCCAGAGUGUUUCCGGGGUUUCUUGCCCCAGUUGAUCUUAUUUUGAGGUAUGCACUGGGGAGAUCUCACCUGGAGUACUGUGUCCAGGUGUGGAGUCUUCAGUGCAGGAGAGACAUGGACCUGUUGGAGUGUGCCCAGAGGAGGGCCACAAAAAUGAUUCAAGGGAUGGAACACCUCUCCUACAUGGACAGGCUGAGAGAGCUUGGGCUGUUCAGCCUGGAAAAGAGAAGGCUCCAGAAAAACCUGAUAGCAGCCUUUACGUAUUUAAAGGGGAGCAACAGGAAAAAAGGGGACAGACUCUUCAGCAGGGUCUGUUGCUACAGGACAAGGGGAAAUGGCUUCAAGAUCAAAGAGGGUAGAUUUAGGUUAGAUAUAAGGAAAAAGUAUUUUACAGUAAGGAUGGUGAGGCACUGGAACAGAUUGCCCAGUGAUAUCGUUGAUGCCCCAUCCCUGGAGACUUUAAAGGCGAGACUGGAUCAGUCUCUGGGCAAUCCGAUCUAGCUGUGCAUGUCCCUGUUCAUUGCAGGGGAGCUGGGCUAGAUGAUUUUAAUGGUCCCUUCCAACUCUAAGGAAUCUAUGAUUCUAUAAUACUUCACAGCUAUGAGAAGUAUUACAAAGGAAGCUAAAAUAGAUAAAGGUAGAAGGAUUCUGAAACAGUAAAAUUUGUGCAUGUACUCUGUAGAAACAGAAGUACAGCUUGAUCAUGCUUUUGGAGGUUGUGUUUCAAGUCUGGAAGUAAUUCCCUUUGGAAUUACAAAUUAUGCCAUGUUUUUACUUCAGGUUACUGAAUGUGGCAUUAUCUUCAUAAUCUGUUGCUAAUCAAAC
This 2848-nucleotide long non-coding RNA is filed under the name Gallus gallus (chicken). Lineage: Eukaryota; Metazoa; Chordata; Aves; Galliformes; Phasianidae. The record is from RNAcentral.